UACGUAGGGUGCAAGCGUUAAUCGGAAUUACUGGGCGUAAAGCGUGCGCAGGCGGUUUUGUAAGUCUGUUGUGAAAUCCCCGGGCUUAACCUGGGAAUGGCAAUGGAGACUGCAAGGCUAGAGUUUGGCAGAGGGGGGUAGAAUUCCACGUGUAGCAGUGAAAUGCGUAGAGAUGUGGAGGAACACCGAUGGCGAAGGCAGCCCCCUGGGUCAAGACUGACGCUCAUGCACGAAAGCGUGGGGAGCAAACAGG
RNAcentral lists this ribosomal RNA (253 nucleotides) under uncultured bacterium. RNAcentral describes it as "partial 16S ribosomal RNA". It matches the Rfam family "Bacterial small subunit ribosomal RNA", at positions 524 to 776 of the family's 1533-position model. The record is from RNAcentral. RNAcentral also lists the same sequence under 1 other name.